Synchiropus splendidus (mandarinfish) is the source of this 4584-nucleotide long non-coding RNA. RefSeq lists it as uncharacterized. The record is from RefSeq and is a predicted model, not a curated record. Lineage: Eukaryota; Metazoa; Chordata; Actinopteri; Syngnathiformes; Callionymidae. The transcript is spliced from 3 exons.
CCACUGUGGGAGAGGUUCAAACAUCUCAUCGUAGCUAAUGAAAAAGGUAAAUAAACUUAUCUCUACUCACAAUGCAGUUUCGAAGCCGCACCAAGGAGCAGAAGAGCGAAGAGGAAGAGUGAGAAGCUUUUGUGGCGACACUGAUUGGUACUUGGAGCUGCCCAUAAUUCCAUCCACCCUGACAAAGUGGGGCCUUUGCCCCAGAUCCAGCUGAAGAAAAACGGCGUGAUGCUGCCAACACCCUGCUUCACUGGAGCUCCUGGAUCUUCUUUGGAAGAGUCUCAGUCAUGAAGGUAAAGUGCUCAUUCUUGAGGUGAUGAUCAACCACCUGCUCCUCUCCGAUUGCCAGGUAUGUUUCUUCUUUGUCGUACUUGGGCCAGUGAACCAGACCCUUCCCAUUUGGAGACCUGCAUGCAGAGUUUUAGUUUCUGUUCUUCUCAUGCUGUUUUCAGUCUCAUGUUUUGACCUUGAAUCACUUACCCGGUGCGAGCGAAGUUGGCCCAGUAGCUCAUCACGGUUCUGGCUAGUUGUUCCUCUUCGACCAAACAAGGAUCUGGAGACACAUUAUUUGGCACAUUGACCAAUCCUACAACUGCACUCGCCAAAUGCACACUACAAUAUUAAUAUGUUUUUGAAUGGGCUCACCAGGUAAUGCGACACGUGUCUGUGUGAAACAGAAUCCAAACACUGAAAAGAUUUCAUCUCCGUGGUCACAUCCAACAAAGCUUGGUCUUUUUGACUUCAGUAGAGAUGGGCUGUACCUGUACUCAUAAAAAUACACAGGGGCCCCGGCAUCUGUCGGAAUAUGUUCUAGAGUCACUCAUUGUGGUCAGAGCAGAUAGUGUAUUUCCCAGGACAGAGUAAUACCUCUGUGUGCAUUGGCCACAACAACAGCUGGAAUGUUGAAAAUUGUAUCUCCAAUGUGUUGAGUUAAGGCGUCUCUGUUUUUGAUAUGGUCAUCAGAGGUGACACCAUAUUCCUCCAACAGCAGCUCUCUCACUUCGACCUCAUUAAAUAAACAAAUUCAAGUUUUCAUUCAGAUUCAUUUUGUCAUCCAGAUUCAGGUGCUCUCUCACUUACAUCAGGAAAAAACGUUGACAUGAUGUUUGAAACUUGUUCCCGGUCCAGUCCUUCAGUCCAGUUUGGAGGUGCAAAGAACUAACAAUGAGACCAUAAACAGAUGAAAUGUAUGUCAAACAUGUGGCAUCUUAUGGGCUUCCAGAACAUGGAUGAUGAGAUGUCUAGUUAAUAAUUCUGGUUUAAAUGGAAACAUUAUCGUUUCAGACUUACAUGCAUCAGUAAAUAGCCGCCCUCAUCAUCGGUCACUCCUGUGAUGAACGGCACCUUCUGAAGUUCAUGAUUCUCAAGCAGCUCUUUCACUGGCUUUGUCAAAAAGUGUCCAUCCGUGAUUACGGGAAACCGUAAUGUAGAAUCCUGGGGAGGAAAAUAGUUGUUACAUGAAAAUGGAAAUCAGAAGUUUUGAAUGAUGAAUAUAUUGAAUUAUUGAAGACUUACUUUGACAAGGGUGUUUAUUGUUUCCAUAUCCAGGUUCUUCAUGCACUCUGCUAUCUUCUCUGUGGAUUCAACACUACAUCCAGACAUGUUUGCAACCAUCUAAAAACACAUAUAAAAGCUUCACCGUAUAGCAAUUUGAAACAAAUGAAAAAUGACAUGAAUGUACAGAACCAAUUUUCUAACUAGAGUAUUGAUAACUUGCCUGAGCUGUCGCUAGGGAGUUCUCUUGAACCAUUGCAUACAUUGCAGCAGUGCCACUCUCUGCAAUAGCUUUGUGGAUCAGGCCUUCAGUUAAUGGUGAGAGAAGCUGCUCGAAGAGAUAUGCAAAAGGAUCCUUAUUUUGCCUUCCUCACCACAUAUUAAGAACAUCAGUUUUUUGCAACACAAUCUGAACUUAAAAGCAGCCAGGCUGGAUCUCACAAUGGACCUUACCAAAAGGGACACGCUCACUCCACCAGCAGACUCUCCAAAUAUGGUGACUGAGUUAGAGGCUCCUCCAAAGUUGUGGAUGUGCUCCUGGACCCACUUCAGGGCCUGCACUUGGUCCAGCAUGCCCCAGUUUCCGGCCAUGUGCUCAUCACCAGUGCUGGAUAGGCAAAUUAUUCCACCCAUGUUUUAAAGGCAGAUAUUCAUCGUGCAGUAUUUAUUUAUUUUCAUGACUUACCUUAGAUAGCCAAGGAGUCCCAAGCGGUAUUGUAUUGACACCACAACUACAUUCUCAUAGGCUGCCAGGGCAGAUCCAUCAUACAUUGAAGCUGUGCCCAUUGUUAAGCCUCCUCCAUGGAUCCACAACAUGACCUGUCCAGGCAGAAGAGCAACAUUGUAAAAUAUAAUGUGUGAGGGUUUUUGGACAAAUGGCAGAUAUGUAGCCAAGGGCUUUUACACAGCACCCUGCUCCCUUCUGAAUUGCAAGCAACUGCCUCCUCACUCCGCAGAUGCUUAAACCAACUGGAAACUGUCAGGAAACUGGUUUGUGAUGUUUAAAGCCUCAAAAACAUUGGCUAACCUACCGGAAAUCAUGAUGUGUCACAUGUCCCACUGUUAAUUUUGGUACAGAAAAUCGGAUUAUUGCGUGAGUCAGAUUUUUAAAUACAUGUGAACAGCUACUACUGAAGAGGAAUUUGACUUUUUCAUAGUGCGACUCCAUGACCUGGAUAAUGUGGUUGAUAGCUGGACUAAACUAGCGUGUGACUGAAUAGCUCGGGCUGGGUGAUGUGCAACUGUGCGAGCUUCAGUUACACAGUGGAAGAAAACAAACUCCAAGACAAAUCACGGUCUUAUGAUGUCUAAUGACCUUAUACACAAUGGAGAAGUCAUGUGAGUGUGUGUGUGUGUAACGUGAUGCAGCAUGUUUUUCUCGGUCAUGCAUGUAGUGAACAGAUAACAAACCCGAUAUCAACUGUGUUUUGUAACUUGAGCAAAGUUAGGAAGCUGGUUUGUGAUGUUUAAAGACUCAGAAACAUCGGCUGAUGUGCAGAUUUUUCCAGCAUCGGUUAGUGUAGUUGCUAAGUUAGUCGGACUUUACAUACUCCACAUCUAGCAUUCUUGUAAUACAAAGACAAUAGAGUGAAUAUUUAAUUUUAUUCAGAAACUUAGUUUAAUGGAGACAUCUUCCCAUGGAGGCAGGUUGGCAAUGACGUUGAUUCUUUUUGUUGAUUCUAUAUUCUCUAAAUCUGUAAGUACCGUAAUUUCCGGACUAUAGAGCGCAACAGAAUAUUAGCUGCACCCGCUAAAUUUAAGAAGGAAAAUAGAUCUUGUUCAUACACAAGCCGCACUGGUCUAUAAGUCACAGGUUCAGUGGUGCUGUCUGCACUGUGGACAGGUCAGUGGUGCAUCGGCUUAAAAACACUUUUCAACACGGGCUCCAGCAUCAAGAAACAAGCUGUGUAAUAAGGAGAGUUCUCUUGAUCCAUCCACGCCGCUCUCACAAUAAGUUGAACACAGUGAGAAAGACUACUGAUGAUCGAGAAGGUUUUAAUCAGUACAGAUCCAGACAUCAGAGAUGAUCAAUGAAUUGUCUGGUGAUCUUUCAGUUCCUGGCUACUGCGCUUUGAACAAUGUUGUCUGCCCAGACAGCGAUCACACCCUUUACUGUCCGGCAUUUAUCAUAUUUGUGCGGAGUCGCGCUAUAGAGUACACGUAGCAUCUAGCGCCGAGUCGCCUGAGGCGAGAAGCUCACUCCCUCGGGAGAGUGUCCCGAGACAAGGUGCAGCUCUCCAGACGGGAUCAAGUCUGCAGCCAAAACAUGACACACUUGUGUUUGCGUCAGGCUUUUCAGCCGAACACACUUUGUCUUGGGACGGCGUCUCACAUGUUUUAUUCACAUUAAAGCCUUCAAAAUGUGCUGUUUUUGCCCGCGUGCCCACAGUUCCGACACCACUGCAGGUCUCAGCUGCUUCUUCUCGAUUCCAGACCUCCUGGAGAUCGACUCUCUUGACGGAGCUGUGGACACGCAGGCGAACACAGUGCAUUUUGAGUGUUUCAAAGGUAAAUAAAAAGCUUUUGAUUUCAUCGCCUCUAAUUUAGUCUGUUUUCAGCCUGUAAAAGUCCAUACAUUACAGCCGUGCUGUUGUGUAAGCCGCAGGGCUCAGACCGUGAGAAAAAAGUAGUGGCUUACAGUCCAGAAAUUACGGUAUCUUAUAUGCAGUGUGUUACUUUAGAAAGAUGUCCUUACUGGGAGUUUGGCAUCAUGAGGUCUGGUUGCCGGUGUGUAGAUGUUCAGGUACAGACAGUCUUCCGACACUCCUGGCAGUUCCAUCUGAAGUUGGAAAACCUUUUCAAUAAAUUGUGCGCUGACCUGCCAAUCCUGGACACACCUAAAACAAAAAUAUUUACAAGUGUGACAUAGUCUUGUUUCUCUUUAUAAAAGGCAAUUGUUCCUCACAUAGGAGGCUGUUUGGUGGCAUCUCUUACUCCCUCCCAUCCUUCUGGGUCCUGAGGUGCCGCCAGUCUCAGUGCAGGGCCAACGGGUGGCUUUGCAAAAGGGACACCCAGAAAGGCAUGAACCUUAUUCUCCGUUCCUUUAACGGUCAAUAUGUCACCCCUCACGCUUCCUAGCUUGGUGUGGAC